This is a long non-coding RNA of Vicia villosa (hairy vetch), 2995 nucleotides long. RefSeq lists it as uncharacterized. The transcript is spliced from 4 exons. NCBI's taxonomy places the organism in Eukaryota, Viridiplantae, Streptophyta, Magnoliopsida, Fabales, Fabaceae. The record is from RefSeq and is a predicted model, not a curated record.
AAAAUAAAAAUAACUUGUAAUCUUGAUGAGAAAAAUAAAUUAGGACCAAAUUAAAAUUAGUGCAUUUUGCGGAACCGUGAGAGUAUAUAAACUGUUACAAGUCAUUUGCCGUGGUCCUCUCCUUUUCACAUAACCACAAUUCCGAUCCGAUACAAUGACGGAGACGAAGCCUCUUUCCCUCACUUCUCUCUGCAUCGGUGAUGAUGAUGGUGCUGUUGUUACAGUUUUGAUCUUCACAUGCCAUUCCCGGAUCUGAAGAUUUUGCGACUCAACGAACAACUAGAGAGCGUUCAAGGAAUUGGAAUCUAAGAUAGAGCAUAGCAGAAGUUGUUUGAGUUGUGAUGGCCUAAUCUCACUUAUCAGAUCCAACCAACUGGCUGUCAAAAAGUAUACCGGGAGACUCAUGUGUAAAAUUAUUUACACUACAAUGCAUUAUAAUUAUACACUAUUAUGUCUAUCACUUGAUACUGGUUUCACUCAAUUUAUAUUUUUCUAUUAUCUACUUGAAAUAACAGUUGUCGAUGAAGCAGCAGAGAUAACACUAAUCUCCGAUUUUAAAGAAUGUAUUGGUGACAUAAAGGUUUCAGGUACUAUGCUAAGUUGCUUUCUCCGUUACGAAAAUUUCCAACGCGAAGUGCUGUUCAGGAAAUUUGACUCGGCUAGGAUUUGUUAGAGAUGUAGCUCAUGAAUAGGGUUGAAAGGAUCUUGCCAUUUAAGCAGUGUUAUCAAAUGGCGGCGCCAUGGCCACUAUUGCGGAUAUACAUGGUGGUUUUUAAACUCGCCGCAAUGGUAAAUAUCAGCUGAUAUUGCGGGUUUUCCCGCCAUAAUCUGCUAUAACAGUGCAGCAAAGCGGUCGUGAUGGCGGGAUUUUGGCUCUCCGCUCUGGACCGCCAUCCGUCAUUGACAACACUGCAUUUAAGAAGAAUGCAGACCCUCGAAGUUAUGCAGUCAAGGGAAUUUUUCCUAUUUUCUUCUAUUAAAUCCUAAAUUUAUCUUAAUUCAAUUUUCAAAUAACUUUUCUUUAACUUUUAUAAAUUAUGUUAUCAUUAAUAUAUAUUUAAAAUAACUUUUCAUUAGUUUUAUAAUUUUCAUUAUCUUUAGGUUCUAUAUGUUUCGCUCAUCAGAGUUGCAUCUUUUGAAAUAGUUUGAGCCGUAGAUACCAAUGUGUAAAUUAUUGCAUUACUAAUCAAAAGCAAUGUAUAUGUUCUUCAAUGAGAUGUGUAUUUUUUUUCCAUCAAUCUCUUUUUUAUACUCAUUCCUUUCUCACUAAUUUUUCUAAGUAUAUUUUUGGUAAAUUGUAUUUCAUUAGAUCUAUCCAAUAUAUGUGUUGUUGUCCUUAAUAUUUUUAUGGUGUCGAUAUAAUUGUAAUUUAUUUGAAAAGAUUUUUUUGAACGGCUAUUUGAAAAGAUGUUUGAAAGUAAAGACUGUUUGUCAUCUUCCAAGGAUUGCUUUGGAAUUCUACCAUAAGGUAAUAUCUAAAUGUCUUUUUUCCACUUUUGUGUUAGUUGAUCUAUGCAAUUUUUAUGUUAUCGUCUUAAAUAUUUCCAUCAUGUCAAUACUAAUUUUUUGGACACAUUUUUCUCAACUUAAUAGUUUGAAAAAUUAUGGAUUACAUCUGAAAUAUGCCGAGUUGAAGAAACUAAUGUGUAGAUAUCAAAACAAAUGUGAUGGUUUUUCAAUGAGGUAUGUAUUUCUUUCACUAAUCUUAUUUUCUACACCGUAGUUAAUACAUCUUGACUAACAAUCACAGUAUUAACUAUUAGAAAUUAUAGAAACUUUUUAGAGUAGAAAUUAAUUUUAAAUAGUCAUAUUUAGGGCUGUCUAAAUUCUGUUUAGAACCAAACUGAACCAUGAACUGAACCAAACCACUUUUAAAAUAACUGUACUAGUUGUAUUAUUUGUGAACCAAACUGUGUUUUAACAUUGCAUCUCACUAACCAAACUGUCAAUGUCUCCGGUUCGGUAAACUAUUACUAACAGUGAAUCUAUCCAUCUUCUGCAACUCACAACAGAAAUAAAAUAUAGUGCACCAAAUCACUGAAUCAGUUUGGUUUGGUUAAGGUGAAAUGGUUGCAGUUUGGUUUGAUUCAACUUUCUCAAACUGAAUUUGUGGUUCAGUUUGGUUCGGUUCAACUUCUAGUCAUAUUACUGCAAUUUAAAACAUUUCUAUCGCAAAAUUGAAAUAUUUUUUCUGCAUAAACAUUUUAAAUAAAUAUUUUACUCAAACCCAGCACGGGUUAAACAUCCAGUAAUAAAUAGUGAUAUACAAAUUAAAAAAACUACAAUCUCAAUGGACAUAUUACUCCACUGGCAGAAACUAUGUGAAACCAGGAACCAACCUAGUUUAUAAAUUUUCUACAUUUGGGGGUUCUGCAGCGACAGGGAACCUUGUGUUCUUCCGGCUCAUCUUUAUUGAACAAGUAGUCAUAUCUGUGGCAACAUUGAAAUGGAAAAGAAGUCAGAAAAAAACUUAAUACCUGUACCAGAAAAAAUGCCUGCAGUAUUAUGUUGCAUGACAGAGCCAGAUAUGCAAGAUUGUUUGCAUGCAUAACACAUAUAUAAAAAAUAUACACAUCAAACCGUACGUUAGUUCUUCACCAGCAGAAACAUUGGUUUUGGCAAUAAGAACAAUCACGCUCUCCUCAUCACUCAAAUUCACAAUCCUUGCAAAGCAGUUUGGCAUGCACUGCAGCAAUCACAUUUAUUCAUUAUUUUUAUCAGAAACAUAAAACAUUUGUAAUGUAAAACUAACAUUUGUGCCAUUCUUUUUUCUGUCGUUUAUCAGCAUUGUAGAGGAAAUGAAGUACUAAAAAACCAAAAGAUAGGAUUAAGUGGAAACAACUUACAGAAUGGUUUAUAAUACGUGAGAUGUUUCCCUUAUUUGUUGCAUCUAUUACCACUUUGUCACUUAUUGUGAACAGCUGCAUAAUGUAUUUCAUGUGGUAUUAAGAUCAAAAGUAUAAUGAAACCAAAUGAAACAUGAUUGAGUUUUGUA